GAUAAGUAUGUGADNUGCAGAAUUCAGUGAAUCAUCGAAUCUUUGAACGCACCUUGCGCCCUUUGGUAUUCCGAAGGCACACCUGUUUGAGUGUCGUGA
Molecule: ribosomal RNA, 99 nt
Filed under: Aleurobotrys botryosus
Lineage: Eukaryota; Fungi; Basidiomycota; Agaricomycetes; Russulales; Stereaceae
Description: partial 5.8S ribosomal RNA
Rfam family: 5.8S ribosomal RNA
About the family: 5.8S ribosomal RNA (5.8S rRNA) is a component of the large subunit of the eukaryotic ribosome.
Source: RNAcentral